This 379-nucleotide unclassified non-coding RNA is filed under the name soil metagenome. RNAcentral's name for it is "partial contains 5.8S ribosomal RNA, internal transcribed spacer 2, and large subunit ribosomal RNA". The stretch from base 1 to 120 matches the Rfam family "5.8S ribosomal RNA", at positions 35 to 154 of the family's 154-position model. The record is from RNAcentral.
GAUGAAGAACGUAGUGAAAUGCGAUAAGUAAUGUGAAUUGCAGAAUUCAGUGAAUCAUCGAAUCUUUGAACGCACAUUGCGCCCGCCAGUAUUCUGGCGGGCAUGCCUGUUCGAGCGUCAUUUCAACCCUCAAGCCCCAGCGGCCUGGUGUUGGGGACCGGCGACCUCGCCCGAGCCCGCCCUCCGGGGCGCGUGCCCGGUGCGUCCGCCGCCCCCGAAAUGAAUUGGCGGCCUCGUCGCGGCCUCCCCUGCGUAGUAGCACAACCUCGCAAGCGGGAGCGCGACGCGGCCACUGCCGUAAAACGCCCAACUUUUUUAGAGUUGACCUCGGAUCAGGUAGGAAUACCCGCUGAACUUAAGCAUAUCAAUAAGCGGAGGA